GACGAACGCUGGCGGCGUGCUUAACACAUGCAAGUCGAACGGAAAGGCCCUGCUUGCAGGGUACUCGAGUGGCGAACGGGUGAGUAACACGUGGGUGAUCUGCCCUGCACUUCGGGAUAAGCCUGGGAAACUGGGUCUAAUACCGGAUAGGAGCCAUUUAUAGUGUGAUGGUUGGAGAGUUUUUUCGGUGUAGGAUGAGCUCGCGGCCUAUCAGCUUGUUGGUGGGGUAAUGGCCUACCAAGGCGGCGACGGGUAGCCGGCCUGAGAGGGUGGACGGCCACAUUGGGACUGAGAUACGGCCCAGACUCCUACGGGAGGCAGCAGUGGGGAAUAUUGCACAAUGGGCGCAAGCCUGAUGCAGCGACGCCGCGUGGGGGAUGACGGCCUUCGGGUUGUAAACUCCUUUCGCUAGGGAAGAAGCUUUUUGUGACGGUACCGAGAUAAGAAGCACCGGCAAACUACGU
RNAcentral lists this ribosomal RNA (464 nucleotides) under uncultured bacterium. Its description in RNAcentral is "partial 16S ribosomal RNA". It matches the Rfam family "Bacterial small subunit ribosomal RNA", at positions 28 to 506 of the family's 1533-position model. The record is from RNAcentral.